AGUGAACGCUGGCGGUAGGCCUAACACAUGCAAGUCGAACGGCAGCACAGUAAGAGCUUGCUCUUACGGGUGGCGAGUGGCGGACGGGUGGGGAAUACAUCGGAAUCUACUUUUUCGUGGGGGAUAACGUAGGGAAACUUACGCUAAUACCGCAUACGACCUACGGGUGAAAGCAGGGGAUCUUCGGACCUUGCGCGAUUGAAUGAGCCGAUGUCGGAUUAGCUAGUUGGCGGGGUAAAGGCCCACCAAGGCGACGAUCCGUAGCUGGUCUGAGAGGAUGAUCGGCCACACUGGAACUGAGACACGGUCCAGACUCCUACGGGAGGCAGCAGUGGGGAAUAUUGGGCAAUGGGCGAAAGCCUGAUCCAGCAAUACCGCGUGAGUGAAGAAGGCCUUCGGAUUGUAAAGCCCUUUUGUUGGGAAAGAAAAGCAGCAUAUUAAUACCCCGCUAUUCUGACGGUACCCAAAGAAUAAGCACCGGCUAACUUCGUG
Molecule: ribosomal RNA, 492 nt
Filed under: uncultured bacterium
Lineage: Bacteria
Description: partial 16S ribosomal RNA
Rfam family: Bacterial small subunit ribosomal RNA
Source: RNAcentral